This 504-nucleotide long non-coding RNA is filed under the name Marmota monax (woodchuck). The record is from RNAcentral. Lineage: Eukaryota; Metazoa; Chordata; Mammalia; Rodentia; Sciuridae.
AAGCCCUCGGCCUCCAGAAGUCUCUGGGUUCUGCAACAGCCGGCCCGAGCCCUGGACGUUCGGGACGCUUGGGGAGGCUCUGCUGGUGCCCAGGUCUUACCAUCAGUUGCCUCCCAUCCAGCUCCUCCUUCGUCCGCUGCUGCGGGCACCCGGCAGGGACCCGAGCUUCUGCGUGGAGGUUUUGGAUUUAAAUGCCUAGUGCCCGGGAAAGGGACCGCGGUCCCAGAGCACCGCCGGCGUCUUGGGUGCCAACACCGCGGUGCAUCAAGGCAGAGAUGAGCGCAGCCACGAGGGCGGGUGGAAGGAUUCGGGACCGGCAGCCGCUUGGCGCACAGCGGGGAAGGACACCUGUCUUCCCAGCCUCCUGCUGCCCGGAAACCCCCCGGCACUCCAUUGCCCACCGCGGGUCCCGGGAAUGCUGCGGGCGGAGGAGGGUGGCCGGGUCGCCCCUCCCGGGCCUUGCGGUCCUGAGAAAGCAGAAGCUAGCUCCUCCAGGGAAUCCCA